Molecule: long non-coding RNA, 217 nt
Filed under: Olea europaea (common olive)
Lineage: Eukaryota; Viridiplantae; Streptophyta; Magnoliopsida; Lamiales; Oleaceae
Description: long non-coding RNA (OEUR_LNC001084)
Source: RNAcentral
AUAUAUUAUUGGCAAUUGAGGCAAUGCCAAUUGAGCAAGUUGACCCUGCCAAUGGCUAGCCGAUUUCACUCAAAAGUUUAGUUCAGCCUCGUAGAAAGCUUGUUUUGAAUUCUGCUCUCUCAAGAUAACACAUUCUCCCCUUUUGUCACCCUAGACAUGUCUAAUUAGUGAUGGCUCGGCUUGUGACAAUCACAAGCCAACUCGAGCUCGACCCGGC